AGCGUACACGGUGGAUGCCCUGGCAGUCAGAGGCGAUGAAGGACGUGCUAAUCUGCGAUAAGCGUCGGUAAGGUGAUAUGAACCGUUAUAACCGGCGAUUUCCGAAUGGGGAAACCCAGUGUGAUUCGUCACACUAUCAUUAACUGAAUCCAUAGGUUAAUGAGGCGAACCGGGGGAACUGAAACAUCUAAGUACCCCGAGGAAAAGAAAUCAACCGAGAUUCCCCCAGUAGCGGCGAGCGAACGGGGAGCAGCCCAGAGCCUGAAUCAGUGUGUGUGUUAGUGGAAGCGUCUGGAAAGGCGCGCGAUACAGGGUGACAGCCCCGUACACAAAAAUGCACAUACUGUGAGCUCGAUGAGUAGGGCGGGACACGUGGUAUCCUGUCUGAAUAUGGGGGGACCAUCCUCCAAGGCUAAAUACUCCUGACUGACCGAUAGUGAACCAGUACCGUGAGGGAAAGGCGAAAAGAACCCCGGCGAGGGGAGUGAAAAAGAACCUGAAACCGUGUACGUACAAGCAGUGGGAGCACAGAGCAAUCUGUGUGACUGCGUACCUUUUGUAUAAUGGGUCAGCGACUUAUAUUCUGUAGCAAGGUUAACCGAAUAGGGGAGCCGAAGGGAAACCGAGUCUUAACUGGGCGUUAAGUUGCAGGGUAUAGACCCGAAACCCGGUGAUCUAGCCAUGGGCAGGUUGAAGGUUGGGUAACACUAACUGGAGGACCGAACCGACUAAUGUUGAAAAAUUAGCGGAUGACUUGUGGCUGGGGGUGAAAGGCCAAUCAAACCGGGAGAUAGCUGGUUCUCCCCGAAAGCUAUUUAGGUAGCGCCUCGUGAAUUCAUCUCCGGGGGUAGAGCACUGUUUCGGCAAGGGGGUCAUCCCGACUUACCAACCCGAUGCAAACUGCGAAUACCGGAGAAUGUUAUCACGGGAGACACACGGCGGGUGCUAACGUCCGUCGUGAAGAGGGAAACAACCCAGACCGCCAGCUAAGGUCCCAAAGUCAUGGUUAAGUGGGAAACGAUGUGGGAAGGCCCAGACAGCCAGGAUGUUGGCUUAGAAGCAGCCAUCAUUUAAAGAAAGCGUAAUAGCUCACUGGUCGAGUCGGCCUGCGCGGAAGAUGUAACGGGGCUAAACCAUGCACCGAAGCUGCGGCAGCGACGCUUAUGCGUUGUUGGGUAGGGGAGCGUUCUGUAAGCCUGUGAAGGUGUGCUGUGAGGCAUGCUGGAGGUAUCAGAAGUGCGAAUGCUGACAUAAGUAACGAUAAAGCGGGUGAAAAGCCCGCUCGCCGGAAGACCAAGGGUUCCUGUCCAACGUUAAUCGGGGCAGGGUGAGUCGACCCCUAAGGCGAGGCCGAAAGGCGUAGUCGAUGGGAAACAGGUUAAUAUUCCUGUACUUGGUGUUACUGCGAAGGGGGGACGGAGAAGGCUAUGUUGGCCGGGCGACGGUUGUCCCGGUUUAAGCGUGUAGGCUGGUUUUCCAGGCAAAUCCGGAAAAUCAAGGCUGAGGCGUGAUGACGAGGCACUACGGUGCUGAAGCAACAAAUGCCCUGCUUCCAGGAAAAGCCUCUAAGCAUCAGGUAACAUCAAAUCGUACCCCAAACCGACACAGGUGGUCAGGUAGAGAAUACCAAGGCGCUUGAGAGAACUCGGGUGAAGGAACUAGGCAAAAUGGUGCCGUAACUUCGGGAGAAGGCACGCUGAUAUGUAGGUGAAGUCCCUCGCGGAUGGAGCUGAAAUCAGUCGAAGAUACCAGCUGGCUGCAACUGUUUAUUAAAAACACAGCACUGUGCAAACACGAAAGUGGACGUAUACGGUGUGACGCCUGCCCGGUGCCGGAAGGUUAAUUGAUGGGGUCAGCGCAAGCGAAGCUCUUGAUCGAAGCCCCGGUAAACGGCGGCCGUAACUAUAACGGUCCUAAGGUAGCGAAAUUCCUUGUCGGGUAAGUUCCGACCUGCACGAAUGGCGUAAUGAUGGCCAGGCUGUCUCCACCCGAGACUCAGUGAAAUUGAACUCGCUGUGAAGAUGCAGUGUACCCGCGGCAAGACGGAAAGACCCCGUGAACCUUUACUAUAGCUUGACACUGAACAUUGAGCCUUGAUGUGUAGGAUAGGUGGGAGGCUUUGAAGUGUGGACGCCAGUCUGCAUGGAGCCGACCUUGAAAUACCACCCUUUAAUGUUUGAUGUUCUAACGUUGACCCGUAAUCCGGGUUGCGGACAGUGUCUGGUGGGUAGUUUGACUGGGGCGGUCUCCUCCUAAAGAGUAACGGAGGAGCACGAAGGUUGGCUAAUCCUGGUCGGACAUCAGGAGGUUAGUGCAAUGGCAUAAGCCAGCUUGACUGCGAGCGUGACGGCGCGAGCAGGUGCGAAAGCAGGUCAUAGUGAUCCGGUGGUUCUGAAUGGAAGGGCCAUCGCUCAACGGAUAAAAGGUACUCCGGGGAUAACAGGCUGAUACCGCCCAAGAGUUCAUAUCGACGGCGGUGUUUGGCACCUCGAUGUCGGCUCAUCACAUCCUGGGGCUGAAGUAGGUCCCAAGGGUAUGGCUGUUCGCCAUUUAAAGUGGUACGCGAGCUGGGUUUAGAACGUCGUGAGACAGUUCGGUCCCUAUCUGCCGUGGGCGCUGGAGAACUGAGGGGGGCUGCUCCUAGUACGAGAGGACCGGAGUGGACGCAUCACUGGUGUUCGGGUUGUCAUGCCAAUGGCACUGCCCGGUAGCUAAAUGCGGAAGAGAUAAGUGCUGAAAGCAUCUAAGCACGAAACUUGCCCCGAGAUGAGUUCUCCCUGACUCCUUGA
Molecule: ribosomal RNA, 2789 nt
Filed under: Escherichia coli
Lineage: Bacteria; Pseudomonadati; Pseudomonadota; Gammaproteobacteria; Enterobacterales; Enterobacteriaceae
Description: bacterial LSU rRNA
Rfam family: Bacterial large subunit ribosomal RNA
Source: RNAcentral